Molecule: long non-coding RNA, 1858 nt
Organism: Hypanus sabinus (Atlantic stingray)
Lineage: Eukaryota; Metazoa; Chordata; Chondrichthyes; Myliobatiformes; Dasyatidae
Exons: 4
Source: RefSeq, a predicted model, not a curated record
CCUUGUACAGAUGUGUUGGUCUAAAAAGAUGAACAUUUUUUCCCAGCAGAUUUAGAUAUGAAAAAUGUUCUGUGCUCUAUGAAGCCCUGCAGAUCAGCGUUAAUUGGCUACAGAAGCAAAAGGAAUUUUACAAACAAGAGAAAAAUCUGCAGAUGUUGGAAAUCCAAGCAACGCACGCAAAAGGGUCUUGCUGAAGGACCUCAGCCCGAAACAUCGACUGUACUUUUUCUCCAUAGAUGCUGCCUGGCCUGUUGAGUUGCUUCAGCGUUUUGUGUGUGUUGAAAAGGAACUUUAUUAUGUUCUCAACAUAAUAGGAUUAAGAUUUUAUUUCUUUUAUCUCUACUUAGAUUACAUGCCUCUAGAUGGGCAGGUAGAAUUUAUAUUGCUUUGAAUAAGAGAUUAUGACAGAAUUAGGGAUUUUUUGUUGUAUAUUUUCAUAUGUUCAUUUUUGCCACGCGCAGUCACACCAUUUAGUAACUCCCGAGAACGGCCAAUCAUACCGAUGUUAACUGUAUAUUUUCUCUCAGAUAUUCUGGGCGGCUUUGUACCUCGGCUGUAGUUUUGACCGGCUCGGCGGCACCGGCAUUCUGACUGUACUCAGGUUAUUGGAACGCUAAUCAGAUUAGCAGUGACUAAAUACUUGCUCAACCUUUCCUGUCUAACGCACCACUCCGCCUCUCUUGCGCAAUAGUGUGCUCAGAAUAUAAAUGCUAUCUAAAUAUCAUUCUUCUUGUGGACUUUUGAGGGCAUCUCGCUGAUAGUGAAUACUAGUGGGGAGCAGAAUCCUUUGUAUUUUAGCACCCCGUGAUGGAAUCAAGUAUCCCUGGUCGGGUAUAAUCUACCCCGGCGUAAAUAAAACCCGUUUGCAUUGAACAGUAAUUUAUCCCGGUACUAACUAAAGAAGAGCACCCCCAUUCAUACCAAAUAGCGCAACGUAAUAGUAACUCUGGUCUCGUAAUUAAUUUUAUCCCAAAAGCAUUACGACACAUCUAUGUGAAGUGUCACCGUACGCUGAUGAGGAUUCUGUUCACAUCGCCAGCUCUGAACUGACUGGAACAAGACAAAAGCUCCGACGUCCUAACGAGAACCGCGCUGGAGGGAGGCUGCGGCGACCAGAUUAGCAACACUUCUCAGGUUUACAGCGUGUUGCGUUACCGCAGAAUGGGCCAUUAAAGAACAGUGUAAAACAGGAUCAGUCUCCUUAAUGAUGUUCCCGAUGACUGAGCAGCCAACACCCACUGCCACUACUAGCAUAUCAAAAGCAGAUCUCGUAUUGGACCGUACCAUUCCGUUCACGUGACGUGAUUCUGAAUAAAGUAAAGUAAAGUUGAAGAGAGAAGGGAGAUACCGGCAGGGUUCAUCGCUGAAUGUUGAUCAAACUGGAAUAAUGCUGGGUCAUUUUAACGCCAGCGCGGAAACCUGUGAUACUGCAGCAAGGGAGAGCGCCCGUUCGGCACUGGCUCCCCAUUAUUAAACAUUCUUCCAUCUGCGGCAGAUCUUUCAAAAACAGACUGCCUCCUGAUGCACCAUAUUUGAAAUACAGCAGUUUUCCUAAAAAGGGCUUUGAAACUACGUGUGAACCUAACUGCAAGAUCACUUAAAACCAACUAGAAAAUAACUGAAGAUACCAGCACUUUGACAAAGCUAGCUUGUGAGACAAUGGAUGUUCAUGUUUGCUGACCAUAUCAUCCUAUCAUGAACAGUUCUUGAUCUCUUAACGUUAUCUAUGUUAAUUCUUUAACAUUAAAUAUAACCUUACACUAUGUUAAUGGAGACCCAUUUUUGAAAUUAGAAUUUCAUGGUAAAUCCCAAGCUCAUGUUCAUGCUUCAUGAAGAAUCGGUGAAAUAGAUAUUUUGA